RNAcentral lists this ribosomal RNA (515 nucleotides) under Faecalibacterium prausnitzii. RNAcentral's name for it is "bacterial SSU rRNA". It matches the Rfam family "Bacterial small subunit ribosomal RNA", at positions 1013 to 1533 of the family's 1533-position model. Lineage: Bacteria; Bacillati; Bacillota; Clostridia; Eubacteriales; Oscillospiraceae. The record is from RNAcentral.
AUUUCUCUUCGGAGCAAGGAGACAGGUGGUGCAUGGUUGUCGUCAGCUCGUGUCGUGAGAUGUUGGGUUAAGUCCCGCAACGAGCGCAACCCUUAUGGUCAGUUACUACGCAAGAGGACUCUGGCCAGACUGCCGUUGACAAAACGGAGGAAGGUGGGGAUGACGUCAAAUCAUCAUGCCCUUUAUGACUUGGGCUACACACGUACUACAAUGGCGUUAAACAAAGAGAAGCAAGACCGCGAGGUGGAGCAAAACUCAGAAACAACGUCCCAGUUCGGACUGCAGGCUGCAACUCGCCUGCACGAAGUCGGAAUUGCUAGUAAUCGUGGAUCAGCAUGCCACGGUGAAUACGUUCCCGGGCCUUGUACACACCGCCCGUCACACCAUGAGAGCCGGGGGGACCCGAAGUCGGUAGUCUAACCGCAAGGAGGACGCCGCCGAAGGUAAAACUGGUGAUUGGGGUGAAGUCGUAACAAGGUAGCCGUAGGAGAACCUGCGGCUGGAUCACCUCCUUU